Molecule: long non-coding RNA, 2236 nt
Organism: Corvus hawaiiensis (hawaiian crow)
Lineage: Eukaryota; Metazoa; Chordata; Aves; Passeriformes; Corvidae
Exons: 3
Source: RefSeq, a predicted model, not a curated record
UAUGGAUUAGCCCUGAUAAUUCAAACACUUGAACAUAUGCUUAACUUUACAUAAUGAGAAUGUCUUGCUGAUUUUAGGAUAACUCUCGAUCUACAUGAAUUUAAGCAAAAGUCUAAGAGUCUACUGGGAAUGUAAUCUGUGGUGCCAGUCAUUUGAAACACACAUUUAAUAAGAAAAGAAUUGAAAUAACUGCAGCAGACACAGAUGACUUUGGUUCCUGCUGCGUUGACAGCAGGGAAUAAUCUGAGGACACCUUUCUUCACUCGUAGUCUGCCAAAAGUUACCCAGACAACUACAACUUUUACAUGAAAAUGAGGAAUAAUGAGACACAAACAUCAAUCUGCUGAAUGAAAUUUAAUGGAGAUAAAAGGCCCACUGACUGCCUUGGUUGUUCCAGUGAAGAUAUCAGCUGUCACUAGCAACUCCUCAUGUACAGCAUAUCUGAAAUAAAGAGGGAGGACUACUGCCAUUUGACCACUUUCUCUGCCCAUCAGAUCAAGUUACCUGAGAGAGGAAGCUGAGAGCUGCCACUCUACUACAACAAAUGAAUGAGUUUCUACAAGCAGUGUCACCACCUCAAACAGGCAGAGCUAGUGGUCUGCAAAGGUGAUUAUUCGCAUUUCUAGGCUCGAUGUUGACAGGCUGAAUCCAAAACUGCCUGACCCUUCUCAAGUCUCCCUAAUAAUUUACAAAGCAUAAUAUGAUCCAUUCUGAAAAAAUAGCAAGGGAAAACACUAAAAAACUUCUUAGAAAGAGAACAGUGUUCUUCGUGGGUCAAGGAUAUGGUGCCCUGGUGUAAUCACAGACAAAAAAGAAAUCAAUACCACACAUAGCUCUUGUAGGACGAAAGGAUAAUUGUCUAUCACAAUUACCUAGACAACAUGUACCUCUUCAAUGCUGGACAUUUUUCUUUCUUGUCUCAUUGUAUGUCUAUGCUUUUCAGUGUGCUCUAUUCCUGUUCACUGUGCUGUCCUCUCCCAAGUUAUUCUGUAUGUGCUUUUAUCACUAAUUUCCCAUGCUCUGCUGGCUCGGGUUUGAGUGGCAGGGAGGAAUCUGUAAGCAGGUGUUGUGGAAGUGAAGCGUGCCAUCCGGCCAGUACAUUAGGUAAAGUUACGUUCCCCUGGGAACCCUAAUGCUUACAACUGCAUCAGCCCCAACUGUUUUUGCAAGAAGAGGAAGAGGCCAGUCCUGACCUCUUCUGACCAGAUGUUUUGGAAAUGUGCCCAUUUUUAGCAGCUAAAAUAGCUGUCAAUUUAUCAAAGUGUAAUAAGUAUUAACAAAGGAGACUCUUUAGUUACAACCUAGUAGUAAAAUGCAAGAGAAGAAAUUAGGGAUAUGGAAGAGAUUGGGUUUGAGUGCAUGGGACCAUAUUCAAAACUAGUUUAAGGAAAAUUUCAAGAUAUUCUGCUCUGUAUAAUAGAAAUUAUAUGACUGGUUUAGACACAAAUUCAGAAAAAAAAGAUCAUUUUCAUAAGCCUAUGCCAAAAAUGUCCAGGACUCUGUACAGACUAGACAUAAGAAAAGAAGCAAGAUAGCUAAUGUAAAAACUCAUGCUGCAAUGAAAGCAACUGAGUUACAAAUUUUAAGGCUCAUUUGGAAACCUUAAACCUUCUGCUUUGAGCUGUGGAAGGCAGGAACCCAUAUUCCACACAUGAGAGUAAACUGUGUUCAUGUUCUUUUAUUACUAUCCCUUCAAAUUGCUGAAAUGGGAAAGAAACAUUUAUGAAAAGCAUUUCUAAAAGAACAAAUAUUCUGCUUUCCUUCCUCCUCUUACCCCUAAUUUAUAGCCCACCAAGAGCUCACCAAUUUUCUUAAACUUUUUUUUUUUAAACGAAUACCUCUUCCCAGCAAUUAUAUAUAAAAGAAAUCUUUUGCUUUAUCAUUUUAAAGAGCUGGGAUUUCAUUCUGUUUCCAAUGUCCCAAAGGGGUAAAUACCCUUUUUUUUUUUCUUUCUUUUUAGAAUCAGUGGAAUUACAGGGAGCUUGCACUCCAAGAAGUGAGAACAGAAUGGGGUGCUGAGGGGUUUUAAUGGCUAAAGCUUCUGGAUUUCUGAAGCACUUAGUCAGGCUUUUUCCUUCACAAUUGUAAACAAUAGCUUGCUGAUAACCAAGAUGCAAAUCACCAGAAUGCUGUGCUUAAAAUUAGAAUUUCUUUUUCUUACUGUGAUGGUCUUGUUGAGCAAUAAAGCUUUUUACACAAAAUAGAAACACUUCAGUAAUAAUAAUAUUUAUUAAUA